UGGGCAACCUGCCCCUAGCUCUGGGAUAACUGCGGGAAACUGUAGCUAAUACCGGAUGUGACACGAGACUGCAUGGUCUUCGUGUGGAAAGAUUUAUCGGCUAGGGAUGGGCCCGCGGUCUAUCAGCUUGUUGGUGGGGUAAUGGCUCACCAAGGCGACGACGGAUAACCGGCCUGAGAGGGCGACCGGUCACACUGGGACUGAGACACGGCCCAGACUCCUACGGGAGG
This 230-nucleotide ribosomal RNA is filed under the name uncultured bacterium. RNAcentral describes it as "partial 16S ribosomal RNA". It matches the Rfam family "Bacterial small subunit ribosomal RNA", at positions 118 to 348 of the family's 1533-position model. The record is from RNAcentral.